CAGCCGCCGCGGUAAUACGAAGGGGGCUAGCGUUGUUCGGAUUCACUGGGCGUAAAGCGCACGUAGGCGGAUCGAUCAGUCAGGGGUGAAAUCCCAGAGCUCAACUCUGGAACUGCCUUUGAUACUGUCGAUCUGGAGUAUGGAAGAGGUGAGUGGAAUUCCGAGUGUAGAGGUGAAAUUCGUAGAUAUUCGGAGGAACACCAGUGGCGAAGGCGGCUCACUGGUCCAUUACUGACGCUGAGGUGCGAAAGCGUGGGGAGCAAACAGGAUUAGAUACCCGCGUAGUCCCUGUCUCUUAUAC
RNAcentral lists this ribosomal RNA (301 nucleotides) under uncultured bacterium. RNAcentral's name for it is "partial 16S ribosomal RNA". It matches the Rfam family "Bacterial small subunit ribosomal RNA", at positions 509 to 807 of the family's 1533-position model. The record is from RNAcentral.